This is a long non-coding RNA of Meriones unguiculatus (Mongolian gerbil), 941 nucleotides long. RefSeq lists it as uncharacterized. The transcript has 3 exons. The record is from RefSeq and is a predicted model, not a curated record. NCBI's taxonomy places the organism in Eukaryota, Metazoa, Chordata, Mammalia, Rodentia, Muridae.
GGAUGGGGAGGUGGGGUGGGGACCGGCUGCACAGGGGGCGGGGCGUUCAAAGGGGUGGAGAGGUCACCGUCCUGCCGGGCGCGGCUUGCUGGUGACCCGCAGUGGGGGAGGAGAGUUCUCCCGGUGCCGGGAUAGCCGGAUCCAGCGGCCUCUACCCGGUUAUCCUUCAGACUGGGGUCGGAGAAGUCGUGUUACCCCCCAUGAACCAGAUCUGCAAGCAAAAAGGAACUACCAUCCUGAGUCCUGCAGACCUCCUGCGCAGGUGUCGGGUAUGGUGACAAAGAAGGAAUGGGGGACCGCCCUCAACUGACACUUAAAAGCCCUGUAGCUGAGGCCAGAAACCCGCUCCAAGCCCGGGGUGCCGAGUCCUAGCCUAAGCCUUUUUGGAGGAAGAAGGGGAGCGACGCCGUGUGUGAAGUGCCGGGUCAGGUGGGGAUUCGAACUUUCGCCCAGGCCCCUCGCCGCCCGGCUCACGCCCGAGGCUUCAGGGGGAGGAUGUCCGAGACAGCCCCGACGCCACAGGCCUUCCUUCUCCUAAGGCGAGAGAGGAGUCGGUUCUGCAGAGCUCCAGAAACUGAGGCCCGAGGGAGUCCCGGCCCUUUGCCUCAUUGCUGAGAACACGGAAGAUUGGUACAAGGUUUGGGGAUAGAGCCCAGGGCCUUGUGGAUUCUAGACGAGCCCUCCUGCUGGGCCACAUCUCAGCCUUUGUCUGUUCACUUACAGCAAAGCCAGAAUAUUCCCCCACAACCAUGCAGCCAUACUCUGCUACAAAAAGCUCAACUAGCACACCCAAAAGAAGAGCUAAGGAACAUUCUGGAGAGGCCUCACAGAGCCACUGUCUGUCCUCUUGUCCUCCUGGCCUAGCUGUGCAAGAUGUAAAGAGCGAGCACUGUGUCACCACCUGCUUCUUAGGCCCCUAAGAAUGCCCUAGGUUUAUCCCU